GUGCUCACUUCAGCAGCGCAUAUACUAAAAUUGGAAUGAUACAGA
This 45-nucleotide small nuclear RNA is filed under the name Cervus elaphus hippelaphus. The record is from RNAcentral. Lineage: Eukaryota; Metazoa; Chordata; Mammalia; Artiodactyla; Cervidae.